RNAcentral lists this ribosomal RNA (507 nucleotides) under Leiogalathea ascanius. RNAcentral describes it as "partial 16S large subunit ribosomal RNA". It matches the Rfam family "Bacterial large subunit ribosomal RNA", at positions 1831 to 2597 of the family's 2925-position model. Lineage: Eukaryota; Metazoa; Arthropoda; Malacostraca; Decapoda; Munidopsidae. The record is from RNAcentral.
GUCUGUAUGAAGUUAUAUAGAGUCUAGCCUGCCCAAUGAAUUUUAAUUUAAAAGGCCGCAGUAAUUUGACUGUGCAAAGGUAGCAUAAUAAUUAGUUUUUUAAUUGAAGGCUUGUAUGAAUGGUUGGACAAAGAAAAAUCUGUCUUUUGUGUUAUAUUUGAACUUUACAUUUAAGUGAAAAGGCUUAAAUAAUUUUAAGGGACGAUAAGACCCUAUAAAUCUUUACAUUGAAUUAAGUUUUUUUUAUAAAAUUUAUAAAAUUUAAUAAUGUUAUGUUGGGGCAACACAAAUAUAAAAAAUAACUGUUUUUUAAAAUAAACAUUUAUAUAUGGAGACUAAAAUAAAAGAUCCUUUUAAAGAUUGAAAGUUUAAGUUACUUUAGGGAUAACAGCGUUAUUUUUUUUGAGAGUUCUUAUUGAAAAAAAAGUUUGCGACCUCGAUGUUGAAUUAAAAUUUCUUUACGGUGCAGUAGUUGUAAGAGAGAGUCUGUUCGACUUUUAAAAUUUU